AUCAAUAUUGGUUUACUUCCUAACACUGUAUUAGGUCAAGAGUGACCAUUACAAUGUACUCUCAUAUACUGUCCCCAGUCAUAGAUCAGUAUACCAAACCAAGUUCAGUCUUACAGAUCUAUCAUACCGGAAUAAAGCCGUGUGAUUUUUUAGAAGACGUGCAAACUGAUCUUUGUGAAUUUAUGUAUUGAGAUACAAGGCUGGUCUUCUCUAAGUCAUGUGAACGAUUUAUACGUAUAUCAAGUCAAGGUUGCAGGUUUAAAGCCUCAUUCAUUCUCAGCCCAGCAAUGGACGAGGACAAAAGUCCGGCACCGAAGAAUUACCAGGAAUAUUUGAUGCUGCAAAACUUGCUGAAAUGUCAAGUUUUACAAAGCGAGAAGGCAGGAAAACCAGUCCAUGACGAGCACCUCUUUAUCAUCACACAUCAAG
Molecule: long non-coding RNA, 429 nt
Organism: Saccostrea cuccullata (small rock oyster)
Lineage: Eukaryota; Metazoa; Mollusca; Bivalvia; Ostreida; Ostreidae
Exons: 3
Source: RefSeq, a predicted model, not a curated record